This 465-nucleotide ribosomal RNA is filed under the name uncultured Klebsiella sp. RNAcentral describes it as "bacterial SSU rRNA". It matches the Rfam family "Bacterial small subunit ribosomal RNA", at positions 338 to 795 of the family's 1533-position model. The record is from RNAcentral. Lineage: Bacteria; Pseudomonadati; Pseudomonadota; Gammaproteobacteria; Enterobacterales; Enterobacteriaceae.
CCUACGGGUGGCAGCAGUGGGGAAUAUUGCACAAUGGGCGCAAGCCUGAUGCAGCCAUGCCGCGUGUGUGAAGAAGGCCUUCGGGUUGUAAAGCACUUUCAGCGGGGAGGAAGGCGGUGAGGUUAAUAACCUCAUCGAUUGACGUCACCCGCAGAAGAAGCACCGGCUAACUCCGUGCCAGCAGCCGCGGUAAUACGGAGGGUGCAAGCGUUAAUCGGAAUUACUGGGCGUAAAGCGCACGCAGGCGGUCUGUCAAGUCGGAUGUGAAAUCCCCGGGCUCAACCUGGGAACUGCAUUCGAAACUGGCAGGCUAGAGUCUUGUAGAGGGGGGUAGAAUUCCAGGUGUAGCGGUGAAAUGCGUAGAGAUCUGGAGGAAUACCGGUGGCGAAGGCAGCCCCCUGGACAAAGACUGACGCUCAGGUGCGAAAGCGUGGGGAGCAAACAGGAUUAGAUACCCCAGGAGUC